Molecule: long non-coding RNA, 524 nt
Organism: Stegodyphus dumicola
Lineage: Eukaryota; Metazoa; Arthropoda; Arachnida; Araneae; Eresidae
Source: RefSeq, a predicted model, not a curated record
UUCACUUUCUUCCAUUUCAUUAUUCUUUAUGUAACCUUUGACUUUUUUCUUUCUAUUAUGUUUCUUCACGUGGAGUGUCUUGUCCCCAGAAUUUUCCCGGGCCCCAACUCGGGGUGGCAAGUGAAGGUUUCUCCUCCUUUCAACUGACAAGUGCUGAGGCACUUUCUCCUUGGAUUUCCAAGAAACCGGGCUCCGGCAGUUGCUAUUGGAGGAGAGCGCAUAUGUUUUAGCCCUUUCUUACCCUCUUUUCCGCAUCCGCAACCUCCACCCCUCCCGACCGGAUGAGUUUUCCCUUAGCGACGGAGUCACCCUUUGGACACCGACUGACUAACAUGGCCGACAAAGAUGGCAGCUCAUUUACAUCGACUGCGCGUGAGAAAUAUUCAAAAUUUAUACAGAAGAGAAGGAACUGUUUACUUUAGCUUCCAGGUACUUGAUUAAUCUAGGGUAGCAACUAUAAAUUUUAAGACUGGUUUUGAUGGCCUAUUAUCGGGUGAAUGAAAACCUGGUGACUAUAAAAGGUA